RNAcentral lists this transfer RNA (72 nucleotides) under Bos taurus (domestic cattle). It matches the Rfam family "tRNA". From Rfam's summary of the family: Transfer RNA (tRNA) molecules are approximately 80 nucleotides in length. Their secondary structure includes four short double-helical elements and three loops (D, anti-codon, and T loops). Lineage: Eukaryota; Metazoa; Chordata; Mammalia; Artiodactyla; Bovidae. RNAcentral also lists the same sequence under 4 other names. The record is from Rfam by way of RNAcentral.
UCCCUGGUGGCUCAGUGGUAAAGGGUUCACCUGCCAAUGCAGGAGACUCGGGUUCAAUCCCUGAUCAGGGAA